CUAUCACAUUUGAUGAAAUGAAAGGCCACGUGGCCAGACCUGAGAACACCGAAGGAAGGUGAUUCAAGCAAGGCCUUGUAUAUGGAUAGAGCAAGGAUCUUCCAGAGUCUUUUAAACCUUGUGAAAGAUUUUGAUCAUUAUCUCAAUGAGAGGUCAAUGAAGGACACUAAACCAGGAGUUUCCCUGCACAAGCUCUCUGCUCUUGUCUGCUGCCAUACAAGAUGUGCCUUUCACCUUCUGCCCUGAUUGUGAGGCCUCCCAAGCCAUGUGGAACUGAGUUUCCCUGCACAAGCUCUCUUCUCUUGUCUGCUACCAUAUGAAACAUGCCUUUCACCUUCCGCUACAAUUGUGAGGCCUCCCCAGCCAUGUGGAGCUACGUCUCUCUGUCACCCAGGCUGGAGUGCAGGGGCUGGAGUGCAGUUGCACAAUCUCGGCUCACUGCAACCUCCCCUUCCCGGGUUCAAGUGAAGGAAUGCUGAUUCUGUAUUCAUACUUCUGACUGCAAGGAGUUCCAACAAUAGGAGUGAUUGCUUACUUAUUGACUCUGGACCACAGGGUUAAUGAGAAGUACGGAGUUACUCUAAGGGAUCAACUGGUUCUGACUGGCAGCUUGCCAUUAGAAGGGGGUGAACUACCUAUUAUGAUCCUGUAUUAAAUUAAUUGGAAAGAGUUUAUGUUUUCAGUAUUCCAGCAUGCUCGAAGUUUAAGAUGCAGACAAGGAAAACAAGGCAGCCUAGAGAACAUUUACCUUUGCAUAUUCUCAUACAAUUUUUAUCCAUUUUGCUUCUCUUAAUAAACUUUACACAAUCACUGCCUGGAAAUGUA
This 825-nucleotide long non-coding RNA is filed under the name Homo sapiens (human). RNAcentral's name for it is "HSALNT0368700". Lineage: Eukaryota; Metazoa; Chordata; Mammalia; Primates; Hominidae. The record is from RNAcentral.